GGGGGGGACGCCUGGCGCGGCGGCUCGUCGUCUAUAGUGACCUUCUUCGAUUACGUCAUCGGCAUCUUAGGAUCUGCACCAGGCUUCUUGGGUUUAACCAGCAGCAUCUCAGGUUGAGUUUGUCCCUCCUCUAUUCUUUCGAAUUGCUAAAAGGUUUAGAAGUGAAAUUUCUGCUAUAGAUUAGCAGCAGCAUCCAUGCAUAUAUCGUCAAUAAACCAACCGGAAAUUGAUAUAAGUAGCCAAGUUGGUCAGUGUACAUUGCUUAACUUGAUUGGAGGUACCUUUCUUAUGCAUUGAUGCUCCUGAUAGUUUUAAAGACAAAAGAGAAAAUAUAUUCUAAGUGUGGAGCAAGGUAUAUUAGGUGUAAUGCGAGCAAGUUAGUGAGUUUUUCAAUGUGGAAAAAUAAUCUACAUGCUGAAGUAAGAACUCAGACAUCUACAUGCUAAAGUAAGAACUCGGAAAUCGGCAUUAGGGACUGCUCUCCUGUGCACUAAAUAUGCUUGCAUGAAUGCACUUUUUGGGGUGCACCAGCUGAAUCAGAGCGAAAAAUUGCCUUUUCCUAGGCUUAGACAUAGGGAAUGGGAGAUAAAUAUUUUCCUAAAGAUAUAUC
Panicum virgatum (switchgrass) is the source of this 610-nucleotide long non-coding RNA. RefSeq lists it as uncharacterized. The record is from RefSeq and is a predicted model, not a curated record. The transcript has 3 exons. Lineage: Eukaryota; Viridiplantae; Streptophyta; Magnoliopsida; Poales; Poaceae.